ACGGGGGCAGCAGUAGGGAAUAUUGCACAAUGGGGGAAACCCUGAUGCAGCGACGCCGCGUGAGUGAUGAAGUAUUUCGGUACGUAAAGCUCUAUCAGCAGGGAAGAUAAUGACGGUACCUGACUAAGAAGCCCCGGCUAACUACGUGCCAGCAGCCGCGGUAAUACGUAGGGGGCAAGCGUUAUCCGGAUUUACUGGGUGUAAAGGGAGUGUAGGUGGUCUGGCAAGUCAGAUGUGAAAGCCCGCGGCUCAACCGCGGGACUGCAUUUGAAACUGUCAGACUGGAGUGCAGGAGAGGAAAGUGGAAUUCCUAGUGUAGCGGUGAAAUGCGUAGAUAUUAGGAAGAACACCAGUGGCGAAGGCGGCUUUCUGGACUGUAACUGACACUGAGGCUCGAAAGCGUGGGGAGCAAACAGGAUUAGAUACCCUGGUA
This 433-nucleotide ribosomal RNA is filed under the name uncultured Anaerosporobacter sp. Its description in RNAcentral is "partial 16S ribosomal RNA". It matches the Rfam family "Bacterial small subunit ribosomal RNA", at positions 341 to 792 of the family's 1533-position model. Lineage: Bacteria; Bacillati; Bacillota; Clostridia; Lachnospirales; Lachnospiraceae. The record is from RNAcentral.